CUAUAGGUGACCAUCGAAAUAAUAAAAAAACAAAAAACAAAAGAUCGACUCGAUCUGCUCGCAUCAAUCGCUUGGGGCGUCAUCGCUGCCACCGGAGCCUCCGCCACCGGUGUCCCACACCGGAGCUGCCGCAGGCGUAGCGGCCGCCGCGGCGCCGCGACCGGCAACGCCAUCCCGCGCUGGACCUCUUCUUCUCUCCUUCCCGAUCUCGCGGUGGGAUUGCAGCGGCCGAGUGAAGGAGACCCAAAGGAGAGGGGAUAUCCAGGCACCGGAGAGGAGGGGACGGAGGAGGAGGAGGAGGAGGAGGAGGAAGAAGGUGGCCUCGCACGCAUCAGCUUUGUCCUUCCCAUGCCAGACUCGCCCACGUUCGGUUGCUGUUCUUGAUCCAACGCCCCGGUGCACACAAGGUGUUUGAGUUGAGAAUGGAUAGGAGUUGGAUGCGAGCAGCAAGGUCUUCCGCCGAGUAUUCUGAAGGAACUAGCAACUUCAUAAAAUUUGCUUUUCGUACGUCAGCAAAAAGUAAUAGGAUUCUCUGCCCUUGCAAGAUAUGUGUAAACUCUCAUUGGUUAGGUGAACUUGAAGUCUAUGAUCAUUUGAUUUAUGAUGGAUUCAUGGCUGGAUAUACCACAUGGAUUCAUCAUGGAGAAAGUAUGCGGCCCUCCGAAACAACUUCAGGUCCUAGUUCACAGUUUGAAGAAUAUGCUGAUAGUGAUGAGAUGGAUGAGAUGCUACUGGAAGGAUUCGGGAUGUAUGAUACUCGUACUUUAGGAGAGGAGCAAGAGUCUGAAGAUGACUUGGACGAUGAUGCUGAAGCAUACUAUAGAUUAGUUAAUGAUGGGCGCCAAGAGCUGUACCCAGGUUGCAAAAGAUUCUCGAAGCUGCAAUUUUUGGUGAGGUUGCUUCACAUCAAGAAUAUGAGGGGAAUGAGCAAUGUCUGCUUUGAUGAGGUAUUGAUGCUAAUUAAGGAGGCACUUCCAGAAGGUGAGGCCUUGCCCAAAAAAUUUCAUGGGGCCAAAAAGUUUGUGAGAGCCAUUGGUAUUGGAUAUAAUAGUAUAGAUGCAUGCAAAAACGAUUGCAUUCUAUUUAGGAAGGAACAUGCUGAUGCCAUAUCAUGUCCAGUGUGUGGCACAAGUAGAUGGAAGAGCGUAAAUACUGGAGUUGAUGGAAGGCGUGUCCACAAGGUGCCUCAAAAGGUGGUUCGUCAUUUCCGGCUAAAGAAGAGACUCCAAAGGUUGUUCGCUUCUACAAAGACGGCAUCAGAUAUGAGGUGGCACAGCGAAGGCCGCACAAAGGACGGCUUGAUACGACACCCAGCUGGUUCACCUGCAUGGAAACACUUUGAUGCUAUUCACAAAGACUUCAGUUCAGAAGUUUGCAAUGUUAGAUUUGGAUUGGGAGCUGAUGGUUUCAACCCUUUUGGAAAUAUGAAUCUCUCAUAUAGCAUAUGGCCUAUCAUCUUGAUCCCCUACAACCUUCCUCCAUGGAUUUGUAUGAAGCAAUCAAACUUUAUCCUCUCUGUCAUCAUUCCUGGUAAAAAAUCUCCAGGGAAAGACAUGGAUGUUUACAUGCAGCUGACCAUAGACGAUCUUCUGGAGCUUUGGAAUGAUGGAGUCUGGACUUAUGAUGCCUCUCGAUCUAAGAAGUUUCUCUUACGCGCCGCACUACUAUGGACAAUAAGUGAUUGGCCUGGGCGUGGAUCUUUGUCUGGAGAAAAUAUAGCAGUUUGCUCCCAUUGUCUAUCAGAGACAUGCUCUCUUUGGUUAAAGAAUGGACACAAGAAAUGCUAUAUGGGACAUCGCAGAUUCUUGGAACCUAAUCACGAGUUUCGAUUUGAUGCUGAGUCAUUUGAUGGUUUUGAGGAACAUCGAGAGCCUCCCGUUCCCCUUUCAUCACAUGAAAUUUCAAUAUUGACAAAGGACAUGAAAACUACAUACGGGAAAUUGCAGCAGAAGAGCAGCAGGAAGCGACACCGUAAUCAGGUAGAUGAGAAUGAUACAAGCGUGCAGCAAGACACUUCAAUAUUCAGAAAGAGAAGUUGCUUCUUUCAGCUGCCAUACUGGGAAACACUUCUAUUGCGUCAUAAUCUGGAUCCUAUGCACAUAGAGAAGAAUGUGUUUGAGAAUAUUGCCCAUACCCUUCUGAAUGUUAGCAAAAGAUCAAAGGACAAUCUAAAUGCACGUCUUGACCUACAACAGUUGAAUAUACGCCAAGACCAACAUCCAGAUUUAACUGGAAGUAAACCAUACCUACCUCCGGCAUUAUACUACUUGGAUUCACAUGGUGCUAAGAUGUUUUGCCAGGUUCUAAAGGAUGCUAGGUUUCCUGAGGGCUAUGCAUCCAACUUGCACAACAAAGUGGAUAUGGUGAGAAAGAGAUUAAAUGGACUAAAGAGCCAUGAUUGUCAUAUUAUAAUGCGUGAUCUGUUGCCCUUAGCCAUUAGGAGAACUUUGCCUAAAGAUGUUUGUAUUCCAUUGAUGCGUUUGUGCAACUACUUCAAGCAAUUAUACUCUAAGGUUAUCACCGUGAGUGAGAUACAAAAGUUGGAGGAUGAGAUUCCUGAAAUCAUGUGCCAAUUGGAGAAAGUAUUCCCUCCUUCCUUUUUUGACAUCAUGGAACACUUGACCAUUCAUCUUGCAACUGAAGUACGGAUUGCUGGACCGGUGCAUUACCGAAGCAUGUGGGCUGUUGAGAGGUUUUUGGGCAAGUUGAAGAGUAUGAUCCAUACGCUAAGUCACCCAGAGCGAUCAAUAGCAGAGGGAUAUGUUUUGGAUGACACUCUUACAUUUUGCUCACGAUAUUUGCAUGGCUGUCCAACCAUAUUCACUCAAACAGGACGACAUAAUGAUUUUAUUGGCCCCAAUGACUCGACAAACCAUCAGCCAUACUUGAGAAUAGUCGGUCGUCCUUUAUUUGGUCCUUGUGUUGAAGAACUAGACUACACGUCAUGGAUCCAAGCUCAAAGAUAUGUGUUGGUCAAUUACCCCCACAUUGCUCCAUAUGUCCAACAACAUCAUGAUAUUCUAUCAGCGGGUCAACGCAAAAGAAUACGUGAUGUAGAACGCUCCCAUCACAAUAGUUUCCACACUUGGUUUGCUGACCAUGUUCAAUCAUUGAUUUCCAAUAAUGUUAAGAUCCCUGAAGAAGUUAAAGUCUUAGCACAAAAGCCAUAUCGGAUGGUGAGAAAGUACAACGCUUACUCUAUAAAUGGAUGCACUUUCCACACAAGGGGAUAUGGUGACGGAAAAGAAGCGCAAUGUGAUGGAGUAUCUAUGAUUGCAAAGACAUCUAGUUUCUCAAGUGCUAAAGAUAAGAAUCCAGCUUUAGGAGAUGUUGUUUAUUAUGGCCGAAUCACUGAAAUAGUUGAGCUCAAUUAUUCAAACAAAGGCAGCGUGGUUUUAUUCAAGUGUGAUUGGGUUGACAGUGUUCGCCCUGAUGCUGGGGUUCGUAAGGACCCAUAUGGAAUAACUGAGGUGAAUUUUAACCAUAUGCUAAGCAGCGGCAAUGACAUAUUUGAUGAGCCAUUUAUCCUCGCAACUCAAGCCACCCAAGUAUAUUAUGUACAAGAUUCUAUAGAGAGGGAUUGGUACGCUGUGGUUCAUCCACCUACAAGAGACUUCUUUGAUAUGGAGGCUAGAAUUGAUGGGCAUGAAGAAUAUUAGACUAGGAUUAGGAAAUAUGAUGACUUCGAGAUCAAGAUCUGAUGCAUUUAUUCAGUCCCAUGUGUCUGACCAUGAAAGAAGAUUGAAUGACCUGAAUUAUAGAGUCAGACAAGUUAAUCUACCUCAAAUGGAAUGCAUUAAUGCUAUCAAACAAAUUAAAGCAGAAGCUUCAAACAGGGAUAAAUUAGAACACUUCACUAUGAAUUCCAGAGCUGAAGAAGAUGUUGACUUAAGGAGCCAUGAGGGAAGUGGUGAGGAAACUGAAUCAAAAGAUGAAGAAGAUGACGGUGAACAUGGUGAUGAAACUGAAUCAGAAGAUGAAGAAGGUGAGUCUGGACAAGAAGAUGAACAUGAACAAGAAGAGGAAGUUCGACAAGAACAGGAG
RNA transcript from Triticum aestivum (bread wheat), 4044 nucleotides. RefSeq lists it as uncharacterized. The transcript is spliced from 6 exons. The record is from RefSeq and is a predicted model, not a curated record. NCBI's taxonomy places the organism in Eukaryota, Viridiplantae, Streptophyta, Magnoliopsida, Poales, Poaceae.